RNAcentral lists this ribosomal RNA (477 nucleotides) under uncultured bacterium. Its description in RNAcentral is "bacterial SSU rRNA". It matches the Rfam family "Bacterial small subunit ribosomal RNA", at positions 28 to 507 of the family's 1533-position model. The record is from RNAcentral.
GAUGAACGCUAGCGGAGGCUUAAACAUGCAAGUCGAGGGGUAGAAUUAGCUUGCUAAUUUGAGACCGGCGCACGGGUGCGUAACGCGUAUGCAAUCUACCUUGUACAGGGGAUAGCCCAGAGAAAUUUGGAUUAAUACCCCAUGGUAUAAUUAAUUUGCAUGAAUUGAUUAUUAAAGUUCCAACGGUACAAGAUGAGCAUGCGUCCCAUUAGCUAGUUGGUGUGGUAACGGCAUACCAAGGCGACGAUGGGUAGGGGUCCUGAGAGGGAGAUCCCCCACACUGGUACUGAGACACGGACCAGACUCCUACGGGAGGCAGCAGUGAGGAAUAUUGGUCAAUGGUCGGAAGACUGAACCAGCCAUGCCGCGUGCAGGAAGAAGCAUCUAUGGUGUGUAAACUGCUUUUGUACGGGAAGAAACACUCCUUCGUGAAGGAGCUUGACGGUACCGUAAGAAUAAGGAUCGGCUAACUCCGUG